This 911-nucleotide ribosomal RNA is filed under the name uncultured bacterium. RNAcentral's name for it is "bacterial SSU rRNA". It matches the Rfam family "Bacterial small subunit ribosomal RNA", at positions 84 to 1000 of the family's 1533-position model. The record is from RNAcentral.
CAAGUUGGCGACCGGCGCACGGGUGAGUAACGCGUAUGCAACCUACCUACAACAGAAGAAUAAUCCGGCGAAAGUCGGUCUAAUACUUCAUAAAACAGGGACACCGCAUGGUGUUAUUUGUUAAAGAUUUAUCGGUUGUAGAUGGGCAUGCGUACCAUUAGGUAGUUGGUGAGGUAACGGCCCACCAAGCCUACGAUGGUUAGGGGUUCUGAGAGGAAAGUCCCCCACACUGGUACUGAGACACGGACCAGACUCCUACGGGAGGCAGCAGUGAGGAAUAUUGGUCAAUGGGCGAGAGCCUGAACCAGCCAAGUCGCGUGAAGGAUGACGGCCCUAUGGGUUGUAAACUUCUUUUGCAGGGGAAUAAAGAUAUUCACGUGUGGGUAGUUGUAUGUACCCUGCGAAUAAGCAUCGGCUAACUCCGUGCCAGCAGCCGCGGUAAUACGGAGGAUGCGAGCGUUAUCCGGAUUUAUUGGGUUUAAAGGGUGCGUAGGUGGGCUAUUAAGUCAGUGGUGAAAGUUUGUCGCUCAACGAUAAAAUUGCCGUUGAAACUGGUGGUCUUGAGUAUGGAUGAAGUAGGCGGAAUGCGUGGUGUAGCGGUGAAAUGCAUAGAGAUCACGCAGAACUCCGAUUGCGAAGGCAGCUUACUAAGGCAUAACUGACACUGAAGCACGAAAGCGUGGGUAUCAAACAGGAUUAGAUACCCUGGUAGUCCACGCAGUAAACGAUGAUUACUAGGAGUUUGCGAUAUAGUGUAAGCUCUACAGCGAAAGCGUUAAGUAAUCCACCUGGGGAGUACGCCCGCAACGGUGAACUCAAAGAAUUGACGGGGCCCGCACAACGGANGAACAUGUGGUUAAUUCGAUGAUACGCGAGGAACUUUCCCGGGAUUGAAUGUACUGACGACUGCG